RNAcentral lists this ribosomal RNA (514 nucleotides) under uncultured bacterium. Its description in RNAcentral is "bacterial SSU rRNA". It matches the Rfam family "Bacterial small subunit ribosomal RNA", at positions 28 to 589 of the family's 1533-position model. The record is from RNAcentral.
AGCGAACGCUGGCGGCAGGCCUAACACAUGCAAGUCGAACGGACCCUUCGGGGUUAGUGGCGGACGGGUGAGUAACACGUGGGGACGUGCCUUUAGGUUCGGAAUAGCUCCUGGAAACGGGUGGUAAUGCCGAAUGUGCCCUUCGGGGGAAAGAUUUAUCGCCUUUAGAGCGGCCCGCGUCUGAUUAGCUUGUUGGUGGGGUAAUGGCCCACCAAGGCUACGAUCAGUAGCUGGUCUGAGAGGAUGACCAGCCACAUUGGGACUGAGACACGGCCCAAACUCCUACGGGAGGCAGCAGUGGGGAAUCUUGCGCAAUGGGCGAAAGCCUGACGCAGCCAUGCCGCGUGUAUGAUGAAGGUCUUAGGAUUGUAAAAUACUUUCACCGGUGAAGAUAAUGACUGUAGCCGGAGAAGAAGCCCGGCUAACUUCGUGCCAGCAGCCGCGGUAAUACGAAGGGGGCUAGCGUUGCUCGGAAUUACAGGGCGUAAAGGGAGCGUAGGCGGACAUUUAAGUC